CAGCUUAUCAGAAAGUUAGCCACUUUUAUUCUGACGAUCCAGUGCUUCUGUUGGGCUUAAUAAUUCAAGAUGAUGAACCUGUGGGCCUUUAUGUUGCUGGGUUUCUUGGCUCAGGCAUCUAACGGAUGUGUUCAA
Long non-coding RNA from Nanorana parkeri, 135 nucleotides. RefSeq lists it as uncharacterized. The record is from RefSeq and is a predicted model, not a curated record. NCBI's taxonomy places the organism in Eukaryota, Metazoa, Chordata, Amphibia, Anura, Dicroglossidae. The transcript is spliced from 2 exons.